GUCUACGGCCAUGUCACCCUGAACAAGGCCAAUCCUGUAUGAUCUUGGAAGCUAAGCAGGGUUGGGCCUGGUUAGUACUUAGAUGGGAGACCAUCUAGGAAGACCAGAUAUUGUAGGUG
RNAcentral lists this ribosomal RNA (119 nucleotides) under Pteropus alecto (black flying fox). The record is from RNAcentral. Lineage: Eukaryota; Metazoa; Chordata; Mammalia; Chiroptera; Pteropodidae. RNAcentral also lists the same sequence under 1 other name.